GCUGGCGGCAGGCCUAACACAUGCAAGUCGAGCGGUAGCACAGAGAGCUUGCUCUCGGGUGACGAGCGGCGGACGGGUGAGUAAUGUCUGGGAAACUGCCUGAUGGAGGGGGAUAACUACUGGAAACGGUAGCUAAUACCGCAUAACGUCGCAAGACCAAAGUGGGGGACCUUCGGGCCUCAUGCCAUCAGAUGUGCCCAGAUGGGAUUAGCUAGUAGGUGGGGUAACGGCUCACCUAGGCGACGAUCCCUAGCUGGUCUGAGAGGAUGACCAGCCACACUGGAACUGAGACA
Molecule: ribosomal RNA, 293 nt
Filed under: Klebsiella pneumoniae
Lineage: Bacteria; Pseudomonadati; Pseudomonadota; Gammaproteobacteria; Enterobacterales; Enterobacteriaceae
Description: partial 16S ribosomal RNA
Rfam family: Bacterial small subunit ribosomal RNA
Source: RNAcentral